This is a long non-coding RNA of Aedes albopictus (Asian tiger mosquito), 326 nucleotides long. RefSeq lists it as uncharacterized. The transcript is spliced from 2 exons. Lineage: Eukaryota; Metazoa; Arthropoda; Insecta; Diptera; Culicidae. The record is from RefSeq and is a predicted model, not a curated record.
GGCGGGACAGCGCCUAAUACCGGCGCUAAUACUGCCUAAUAAAUAUUAGUUUCCUAAUCUUCGCCAUCCAACUGAGUAUUUUUUGUUCAGCAUGCCAUGAGUUUCCAUGCAACAACUAACUGUCACAAAGUCAAGAGGAUGGAAUACGGCAAAUAACGUCGGUUCACAGCAUUGAGGAUGUGGCUUUCGAAAUUCCAUGGCGCAGUGCUUAGGGAGACCAAAAUAAAUGGAUUGAUUGGGCAUGAUGACCAAGUUCCUGCAUUACGCUCCUGGAAAAACAUUCAUUUGUGUUAGUUGCGAAUAAAAACAUGUAAACUUAAACCAAA